ACUAUCGUUAACUGAAUACAUAGGUUAACGAGGCGAACCGGGGGAACUGAAACAUCUAAGUACCCCGAGGAAAAGAAAUCAACCGAGAUUCCCCCAGUAGCGGCGAGCGAACGGGGAGCAGCCCGGAGUCUGAAUCAGCUUGUGUGUUAGUGGAACGGUCUGGAAAGUCCGACGGUACAGGGUGAUAGUCCCGUACACGAAAAUGCACAGGUUGUGAACUCGAAGAGUAGGGCGGGACACGUGGUAUCCUGUCUGAAUAUGGGGGGACCAUCCUCCAAGGCUAAAUACUCCUGACUGACCGAUAGUGAACCAGUACCGUGAGGGAAAGGCGAAAAGAACCCCGGCGAGGGGAGUGAAAAAGAACCUGAAACCGUGUACGUACAAGCAGUGGGAGCNGUGACUGCGUACCUUUUGUAUAAUGGGUCAGCGACUUAUAUUCUGUAGCAAGGUUAACCGUAUAGGGGAGCCGAAGGGAAACCGAGUCUUAACUGGGCGUUAAGUUGCAGGGUAUAGACCCGAAACCCGGUGAUCUAGCCAUGGGCAGGUUGAAGGUUGGGUAACACUAACUGGAGGACCGAACCGACUAAUGUUGAAAAAUUAGCGGAUGACCUGUGGCUGGGGGUGAAAGGCCAAUCAAACCGGGAGAUAGCUGGUUCUCCCCGAAAGCUAUUUAGGUAGCGCCUCGUGAACUCAUCUUCGGGGGUAGAGCACUGUUUCGGCUAGGGGGCCAUCCCGGCUUACCAACCCGAUGCAAACUACGAAUACCGAAGAAUGUUAUCACGGGAGACACACGGCGGGUGCUAACGUCCGUCGUGAAGAGGGAAACAACCCAGACCGCCAGCUAAGGUCCCAAAGUCAUGGUUAAGUGGGAAACGAUGUGGGAAGGCACAGACAGCCAGGAUGUUGGCUUAGAAGCAGCCAUCAUUUAAAGAAAGCGUAAUAGCUCACUGGUCGAGUCGGCCUGCGCGGAAGAUGUAACGGGGCUAAACCAUGCACCGAAGCUGCGGCAGCGACACUAUGUGUUGUUGGGUAGGGGAGCGUUCUGUAAGCCGUUGAAGGUGUGCUGUGAGGCAUGCUGGAGGUAUCAGAAGUGCGAAUGCUGACAUAAGUAACGAUAAAGCGGGUGAAAAGCCCGCUCGCCGGAAGACCAAGGGUUCCUGUCCAACGUUAAUCGGGGCAGGGUGAGUCGACCCCUAAGGCGAGGCCGAAAGGCGUAGUCGAUGGGAAACAGGUUAAUAUUCCUGUACUUGGUGUUACUGCGAAGGGGGGACGGAGAAGGCUAUGUCAGCCGGGCGACGGUUGUCCCGGUUUAAGCAUGUAGGCGGAGGUUCCAGGUAAAUCCGGUACCUUUUAACGCUGAGGUGUGAUGACGAGGCACUACGGUGCUGAAGUGAUAAAUGCCCUGCUUCCAGGAAAAGCCUCUAAGCAUCAGGUAACACGAAAUCGUACCCCAAACCGACACAGGUGGUCAGGUAGAGAAUACCAAGGCGCUUGAGAGAACUCGGGUGAAGGAACUAGGCAAAAUGGUGCCGUAACUUCGGGAGAAGGCACGCUGAUAUGUAGGUGAAGCCCCUGCGGGCGGAGCUGAAAUCAGUCGAAGAUACCAGCUGGCUGCAACUGUUUAUUAAAAACACAGCACUGUGCAAACACGAAAGUGGACGUAUACGGUGUGACGCCUGCCCGGUGCCGGAAGGUUAAUUGAUGGGGUUAGCGGCAACGCGAAGCUCUUGAUCGAAGCCCCGGUAAACGGCGGCCGUAACUAUAACGGUCCUAAGGUAGCGAAAUUCCUUGUCGGGUAAGUUCCGACCUGCACGAAUGGCGUAAUGAUGGCCAGGCUGUCUCCACCCGAGACUCAGUGAAAUUGAACUCGCUGUGAAGAUGCAGUGUACCCGCGGCAAGACGGAAAGACCCCGUGAACCUUUACUAUAGCUUGACACUGAACACUGGUCCUUGAUGUGUAGGAUAGGUGGGAGGCUUUGAAGCGUGGACGCCAGUCUGCGUGGAGCCAUCCUUGAAAUACCACCCUUUAAUGGCUGGUGUUCUAACGUAGACCCGUAAUCCGGGUUGCGGACAGUGUCUGGUGGGUAGUUUGACUGGGGCGGUCUCCUCCCAAAGAGUAACGGAGGAGCACGAAGGUUGGCUAAUCCUGGUCGGACAUCAGGAGGUUAGUGCAAUGGCAUAAGCCAGCUUGACUGCGAGCGUGACGGCGCGAGCAGGUGCGAAAGCAGGUCAUAGUGAUCCGGUGGUUCUGAAUGGAAGGGCCAUCGCUCAACGGAUAAAAGGUACUCCGGGGAUAACAGGCUGAUACCGCCCAAGAGUUCAUAUCGACGGCGGUGUUUGGCACCUCGAUGUCGGCUCAUCACAUCCUGGGGCUGAAGUAGGUCCCAAGGGUAUGGCUGUUCGCCAUUUAAAGUGGUACGCGAGCUGGGUUUAGAACGUCGUGAGACAGUUCGGUCCCUAUCUGCCGUGGGCGCUGGAGAAUUGAGGGGGGCUGCUCCUAGUACGAGAGGACCGGAGUGGACGCAUCACUGGUGUUCGGGUUGUCAUGCCAAUGGCACUGCCCGGUAGCUAAAUGCGGAAGAGAUAAGUGCUGAAAGCAUCUAAGCACGAAACUUGCCCCGAGAUGAGUUCU
This 2632-nucleotide ribosomal RNA is filed under the name Enterobacter cloacae. RNAcentral's name for it is "bacterial LSU rRNA". It matches the Rfam family "Bacterial large subunit ribosomal RNA". The record is from RNAcentral. Lineage: Bacteria; Pseudomonadati; Pseudomonadota; Gammaproteobacteria; Enterobacterales; Enterobacteriaceae.